ACUCAAAGGAAUAGACGGGGACCCGCACAAGUAGCGGAGCAUGUGGUUUAAUUCGAAGCAACGCGAAGAACCUUACCUAAGCUUGACAUCCCAUUGACCUCUCCCUAAUCGGAGAUUUCCCUUCGGGGACAGUGGUGACAGGUGGUGCAUGGUUGUCGUCAGCUCGUGUCGUGAGAUGUUGGGUUAAGUCCCGCAACGAGCGCAACCCUUGCCUUUAGUUGCCAGCAUUAAGUUGGGCACUCUAGAGGGACUGCCGAGGAUAACUCGGAGGAAGGUGGGGAUGACGUCAAAUCAUCAUGCCCCUUAUGCUUAGGGCUACACACGUGCUACAAUGGGUGGUACAGAGGGUUGCCAAACCGUGAGGUGGAGCUAAUCCCUUAAAGCCAUUCUCAGUUCGGAUUGUAGGCUGAAACUCGCCUACAUGAAGCUGGAGUUACUAGUAAUCGCAGAUCAGAAUGCUGCGGUGAAUGCGUUCCCGGGUCUUGUACACACCGCCCGU
RNAcentral lists this ribosomal RNA (499 nucleotides) under uncultured bacterium. RNAcentral's name for it is "partial 16S ribosomal RNA". It matches the Rfam family "Bacterial small subunit ribosomal RNA", at positions 899 to 1397 of the family's 1533-position model. The record is from RNAcentral.